CUUGUUUCAUCUCCUCCGCACCCCGUUCUUCUCAUCCUUCAGACCCUGUACAGUAGCUAAUACAAUCACUCCCUGACCCUGGACUGGUUAAGAUAAUGUUUGCUACUCUAACACAUACUCCUCAAAUCAGCAGCUGAAACCAGAGAGCUGGACUUCAUUCACACUCAAAUGAUGGUCAGUGGUGGUUUGGGGGGUGCUCUGUUCCAGGCAUCACUUAGUCCUCAUAAAGGGACCUUUAUGGGGGCCACCAGGGGCAUCAAUAUCCAGCCAGCAGAAGGAGAAAGAGAGUUGAGGGGGCUCAGGGCCCCGGCUCAAAAGUGGCGGAAAUUGCCUCUGCCCACCUUCCGUGCCCUUAUACCUGCACAGGAGCUGGAGGAGGCCACCUGGCCACGUGCCCUGGAAGAAGCAGGACAGGUGGCGGGAAUGUGACAGACAACAGCAACAUCACUGCCCGUCUUUCUGAUGGUAAAUAUCCUCCAGACCCAUCAAAUUGUCCAAGGCCAAGGUCACAUGCCACCUCCUCUCUGAAGACAUCUUUAACUUGCCUCCCUUUCUAAGCCCUGACCAUCACCCUCCUCCUCCUCAUGAUAAUAAUGAAAUAAUAAAACCAUCCGGAUGGAGAAUUUACUACGUGUU
This 636-nucleotide long non-coding RNA is filed under the name Vulpes vulpes (red fox). Its description in RNAcentral is "lncRNA (ENSVVUG00000028618.1)". The record is from RNAcentral. Lineage: Eukaryota; Metazoa; Chordata; Mammalia; Carnivora; Canidae.